UCUCCUGGCUGCUGUGCCCUGAGGGGAUGAGGGGCCUCUGCCCUGUUUCUAGUGGCUUCGGAUAAGUGUUGAGACUCUGCCGAAAACCUCGUGCGGAAAGGAAACUCCCUCCCUGGCCUGUGGACCACGGCCAAGAGAAUUCCUCCCUUUGAGGGUCAUCUCUGUGUGUCCAGCUCCAACUCCUGGCACCGCAAACUGAUCAAGCCCCCUUCAUCUCCCCUCCUCAGCCUGAGUGACUCGUCAGCCCCUCCGCUGAGCAGCCUCAUUUUUCAGUGAGAGAAUCUGAUUGGACGGCCACUGUACGUCACUCCUGACAAAUUCAAAGCCUGGAAGGAUUCAUAUCAGAAAAGUGACGAGGCUUCAAGACUUGGCUCGUCACCCCCUUGGCCCACGGUGAUCCAGCGCAAACGCACCACGCUUGUCAGUUUGGAAAGGGGACCAUGUGUCUGGCUGGCCUGGGCUUGUCAAGGCAACUGAAUAGGAUUUGGUUUGAGGUUGGGGCAAGGAGGUGGCUCUUGGUUUUCUUACCCUGCGUGGUCGGUAAAGGUGGCUGAGGUCAGGGGCUUGAUAGACAAAACAAUCUUUAAAAAGUAGACCUAGGGGCUUCCCUGGUAGCUCAGUGGUUAAGAAUCUGCCUGCCAAUGCAGGGGACACAGGUUUGAGCCCUGGUCCGGGAAGAUCCCACAUGCUACAGAGCAGCUGAGCCCGUGCGCCGCAACUACUGAGUCUGCGCUCUAGAGCCCGUGAGCCACAACUACUGAGCCCACGUGCCACAACUACUGAGCCCGUGCGCCUAGAGCCUGUGCUCCACAACAAGAGAAGCCACCGCAGUGAGAAGCCCGCACACCGCAACGAAGAGUAGCCCCCGCUCGCCGCAACUAGAGAAAGCCCGUGCGCAGCAACGAAGACCCAACGCAGCCAAAAAUAAAUAAAUAAUAAAUAAAUAAAAUUUUAAAAUAAAUAAAUAAAAUAAAAUAAAAAUAGACCUAAGUUGGAAGACUCAUACUUUCUCGAUUUCAAAACAUAGAGUAAGCUACAGUAAUCAAAAAUGUAUACAAAGCUAUAGGAAUCAGGACUGCUUGGUCCUGGCAUGAGGAUAGACCUGUGGAUCAAUGGAAUAGAAUUGAGAGUCUAGAAAUAAAUCCGUAUACUUAUGAUCAAUUGAUUUUAGACAAAUGUGUCAAGACAAUUUGGUGGGGAAUGAAUAGU
Molecule: long non-coding RNA, 1209 nt
Organism: Balaenoptera acutorostrata (minke whale)
Lineage: Eukaryota; Metazoa; Chordata; Mammalia; Artiodactyla; Balaenopteridae
Exons: 3
Source: RefSeq, a predicted model, not a curated record